CAUCUGCAUCAUGGAGACAUUUGCCACAGCCAGGAAUUGAAAUGUCCCUGCUGGGGACCCCACGCCCCUUCCCUUCUCUAAAGCCCCAGGCCGAGUUCAUAUCCUUCUCACCAGCACGCUGCCUGGGGCCACAGCCUGAUAAACGUGUUGGAAGAAUGAGCUGACCGGGCAGGAGUCACCUUGUAGUGCCGAUGCGCACCUGGCUGUGCUGAUGUGAGGGGGCUGGGCCACGCCCCCUCCUUCCCGCCCAGGUCAGAGUGGGGCUUUUGCUAACACCUCCCAGAAGAGCUACAGAAUAAAGGAGACAAUGGGGCUCAUCCCUGUCCUACUGCACACAUCAGAAGUGCAGGUCAGCCCUUCUCAGCCAUAGGAAGCAAGUCUUUAUCCACACGGUUUGAUGAUGAGAUGGCAGGAAUUCCAUCCCACCUUCAGGCUCCACUUCUAACUCUACUUCCCUCGCUAUUUCCAACACAACUGCAACGACUUCCUCCACUGAAGUCUUGACCCCCUCACAGUCAUCCACGAGGGUUGGAAUCAGCUUCUUCCAAAAUCCUGCUAAAGUUGGACCCUAUUUCUAAACUGUCAUUAAACAGAGUCACAACCAUGUCUAGCUGGGAACCCCUCACUGUUAGGAGAGGAAGACUUGCCCGGAAUCCUGUUGUUUUAGGAAGACUGUGACUUCUUUUAUCUGUUUGGAAAUCGGCAAUAGCUCUACUCGAACUGCUUUUUGUGAGGCUUGAACCUAUAACCUGUAUAUCCUGAGUCAACAAUGGCUUCUCCAGCCUGGAAUUGGGGCUGUGUCCCCCUCCAGAGCAGGCCACCUUGGCUGAGCUUCUGUCUGGCAUGACCUGAGUGACACAGGUUCUUGGGCUGUGCUGUGUUGAAGAUGAAUCAUGCAUCUUCCUUGCUUGGGACAGUUCUCCUGGCUACGCACCUGCAGAACACAGGUGAAACUUUCUGAGGAAACUCCCACUGCCACUUGUGAAAAAAAAUUUAUA
This is a long non-coding RNA of Nycticebus coucang (slow loris), 998 nucleotides long. RefSeq lists it as uncharacterized. The transcript has 4 exons. The record is from RefSeq and is a predicted model, not a curated record. Lineage: Eukaryota; Metazoa; Chordata; Mammalia; Primates; Lorisidae.